Molecule: signal recognition particle RNA, 148 nt
Filed under: Nomascus leucogenys (northern white-cheeked gibbon)
Lineage: Eukaryota; Metazoa; Chordata; Mammalia; Primates; Hylobatidae
Description: Metazoan signal recognition particle RNA
Rfam family: Metazoan signal recognition particle RNA
About the family: The signal recognition particle (SRP) is a universally conserved ribonucleoprotein. It is involved in the co-translational targeting of proteins to membranes. The eukaryotic SRP consists of a 300-nucleotide 7S RNA and six proteins: SRPs 72, 68, 54, 19, 14, and 9.
Source: Rfam by way of RNAcentral
GCCGGGCGUGGUGGCGGGCGCCUGUAGUCCCAGCUACUCGGGAGGCUGAGGCAGGAGAAUCGCUUGAAGCCAGGAGGUGGAGGUUGCAGUGAACCCAGAUUGCGCCACUGCACUCCAGCCUGGGUAACAGAGCGAGAUUCUGUCUCAA